Molecule: non-coding RNA, 109 nt
Organism: Acanthosepion pharaonis
Lineage: Eukaryota; Metazoa; Mollusca; Cephalopoda; Sepiida; Sepiidae
Source: the annotation of a GenBank genome assembly
GCCACACCAGGUUGAAAUGUUCAUUCCUGUAUGAGCACCGCAGUUAAGCAAUGUUGAGCCAGGUCAGUACCUAGAUGGGUGACCACUUGGGAAUACUAUAUGUUGUAAG